GUUUGUGUAUUACUUUGAUGUUAAUAAAUUUUGUUCUAAUAUAAAAUAACAGAGCAUUAACUUUCUGCAUCAUCACCUUGCCAAGCAGCAAAUGACUGGUUUCGGUGGUGUGGUUAGUUUUGAGUUUGUGAAUGCACUGAAAAUUCCAUAUAUAGCUCCAUCAUUUGGUGGGUGUGAAAGCAUCAUGGAUCAACCAGCUAUAAUGUCUUACUGAGAUCUGAGCCAAUCAAAGAGGGAAAAAUACGGGAUUAAAGAUAACUUGGUGCGAUUCAGCUUUGGAGUUGAGGACUUCGACGAUCUGAAGGCCGAUAUACUUCAAGCCCUGGAGACCAUAUAGCUUGGUACAUACCUGUCCUUUUGUUUUAUUU
Mercurialis annua (annual mercury) is the source of this 368-nucleotide long non-coding RNA. RefSeq lists it as uncharacterized. The record is from RefSeq and is a predicted model, not a curated record. NCBI's taxonomy places the organism in Eukaryota, Viridiplantae, Streptophyta, Magnoliopsida, Malpighiales, Euphorbiaceae. The transcript is spliced from 3 exons.